UUGUUUUUUUUUUGUUUUUUUUUUUUUUGAAAAUUAAUUUCCCAAUGCUCCUCUUAAAAGGAACUUUGUUUUUCUUCAGUUUUUAAAUUUUACCUGUUGGAGUUAGGUAAGGUCAAGAUCCUUCAUCUCCAAACACAUUUUUCUUAUCUAAUUGCAGGCAACUCUACCAUAAUUAUGGUUCCAAAGACUUGUCUUCUGUGACCAAAAUUAACAAGCUAGUACACACUGUCAUCUUUCUCCCAGGAUGUUGUGGCCAUGCCUCCUCAGAAAUAGGAUAUCCAGUCUCAGCUUGUGCAGUGUUUCAGGAGGAAUUCUCCAGAUUCUCAGAUGCUUCUUGUAAAUUGAUUUUUUUAUUGAUUCAUUAUUCCCUGAAUGUAACACAUUCCCUGCAAAGGGUAAACAGCAGAGUAUAGAAAUACAUCUCUGAAGCUAGAGGGAAUUUCCUGGCAUAUAAUCUGUUUACUCAUUCACCCCAGCUAAGUCCUAAGCCUAAAAUUUAAAACUUUCAUAAAAUUGAUGAUUAGGAGUUGCUCUGAUGAUCUUUAUAUCAUUCACAGAUUUUGAGAGGAUCACGUGAACUAGAAAUUUUUCCAUUGUUUUGCUGUUGUUGUGCAUCUUUUGGUUUUGGUCCUGAAUUUAAAAAUUGCAAUAGCUUUUACAAUGAGAAAUUUACUGAAGACACAAUUUCAAGAUAGCAUUUACUUAAACUCAUGCUGCUUUGCAUGCUGGUGACCUAUUUCAAGACAGUCUACAAAGUCAGAAUGAACCAACACAUACCAUCUCUACAAAUUAAUCUGAGAGAAAAAUCAAGGCCUCAUUUUUAAUUUCAGGCAUCUACAUUAAUCCUUAAGCUUUACAGAGGCAUGAUAAUGAUAAGAAAAAUAAAUUUGCAAACAAAAUAUUUUGGUAACAAAGAUUUUAAUCAUAUUUUUCACUUCUAACUCUUAGGCUUCCUUACCUUUCCAGUGAUGUAACUUCAAUAAUACUUAAUAUGGACAUUGUUUAGAUUUAUAUUGAAUUCUGACCAACAUCAACAAAACAUGAAAGAAAUAAAAAGGGCAAGUCUUAAGAAAAGACUAAAAGAAACCACUGUAGGCCAGACUGGUGCUGCUUGCUGGAGUUCUGUUUCAGACAAGAUGGUGAUAGCCAAAGGGAAGUGGCACAGUUGAUAGUUACUUGCUUUUUCAACACAAUGGAUCAGUGGGGAUGUACAGAAAUGAAGCCAAAACCACUGAUAAGUCUGCACUGAGCCAUUCUAUCCAUUCAGAUUCUGUCUUCCCAUUUUGUGAAAAACAUCACAGACAACAUGCCAUUACAAAUCAAGCCAAAAUUAAUGCUCAUAAAUAUGUGAUCAGAGAAAGGCAGAGUCCCCAGAUAAAAGAUUAAUAAUGGCUGGAUGGCCUUAACAUAUUUCCUUUGAUUCAUGGGAGCAUGGUUAUAGCACAGGGAACUGCCAUUGCUUUCAGAUGAAACAAAUGUCUUUGUAUUGACUAUCGAAAGCAGCAGAUGUUCUGCAAACCAGUACUUUCACAAAGGGACGGCCUUGGAACUAUUUUGUAAACAGCCUAGCUUAAAUUUUAAUACAUGCACUUUGAGGAUGGCUGUGUGACAGAUGGGUUGGGCAAGCUCUGUAAUGCAAAGGGCAUCUAACUGAAUUUGGAAAGCCUCAAGCAGCCUGGUUUGUUAUUGGAAAAAUAAAGUCUGAGAGCCUGUGCGUAUGCUUGUACAUUUCUCUGUGUGUGUAUGUGUUAUUUUCUGUGUAUAUAUUUAUGAGAAAAUAAGAGUUCUUUCUCCAAAAUGUUUCAAAACCAUUAUGGAUCAGUACAGAUAUGCACAUCUAUAUAUAUAUAUAUAUAUAUUAGUACAGAUAUACAUAUAUAUCUAUAUAUACAUAUAUAUAAAUGUAAUUUUCUGAAAGCGUUUUUCCACAUUUGAUUUUUUUCUUUCUUUAAGUGACGAGCUUACAAAUAGAUACUUAAUGAAAGCAUGGUUUAAAAGCAGUUGGAAAACUCCAGUGAUACUGUGAAGCUACUAAAUUAAUGUUGUUAGGGUCUGUCCUUCAGGUGUAAAUCCUACUGUGUGCAGCUUACAAAGGCACAGCAGAGCACCA
Molecule: long non-coding RNA, 2110 nt
Organism: Taeniopygia guttata (zebra finch)
Lineage: Eukaryota; Metazoa; Chordata; Aves; Passeriformes; Estrildidae
Source: Ensembl